GCUCAUUUGUCCGUUGCAGUUUUGUCGGGGCUCAUAUGUCUAUCGCGUCGCGUCGGUGAACCUACUAUCAAGAAAUAGUUGUCAUUUGAGGACAAGCAGCUGAGAGAGCUGAAUUUAUCAAGACUGUUUAUAUUUUUUCCUUAAACCUUACAUUAGCCAAUUAUUGGCUAAUUAACGAGGUUACUAUUUCAAUACCCCUAUUCUUCCUGAUAAUUUACAGUAUGUUAUUUUCAUUGUGUUUAAAUGACUGAUCUGAUGAGCCUGCAAAAUUUGCACGAAUCUGUGCAGCAGUUGAUGAGCAAGCAAGUAGAACAACUCAAUAUCUAUGUGAAAAACCAGCAAAAUAUGUAGGCAGAGGCAAGGAAGACUGUGGUAGGUGCACUCAGGAGCAAGAGAGAAGUUUUUCUAGGAAAGGUACUGCUAAAACUUCACCACAAAGAAAUGGAAGCAGAUCUGUUGGUGCAAUGACAUUCCAGGAAGACAAUGGCAGAGCUCAUUGAAAUUACUCACUUCACCCCACGAAGAAUGACAUUUGGUCAAGAUGGAGGAAAAAAGCACUGCCAAGAAGCCCUCUCGUACCACCUCAGAGAGGCCUGCCACACCAUUACCAAGUGCCUUUACCUUGACAAACAGGGGGAAUGCACCUUGAGGUUGUAAGGCCAUACCAGACACAAGGCAAGAACCAGCUUUAAAAGAGAUGUACUGUAUAUAACCAUGUAAAUCUACAUUUCCCUUCAGUCUACAAUAUAGAUGUUUAGACCCAGGAGUUAAAUUAAAUCU
Polypterus senegalus (gray bichir) is the source of this 780-nucleotide long non-coding RNA. RefSeq lists it as uncharacterized. The record is from RefSeq and is a predicted model, not a curated record. Lineage: Eukaryota; Metazoa; Chordata; Cladistia; Polypteriformes; Polypteridae. The transcript is spliced from 3 exons.